UGUGCAUGUGCUGCCAAGCUGGAACUUAGCCAUAAAUGAUCGUAGUAAAUAAGUACUAAACGACCCAUGUCUUUACAUAACUCAUGAGCAUUUCCCAUGGGAGUCAAGUUUGGGCCAAGUCACUGAUCAAGUUGAUAGUGCUGACAACGCUAAAAGACAAUGGUAGUCAAAUGGGCGUCGCUCGUCCUCAGCUUGAGCGACAACAUGGAUCAUUAAAAGCAUUAGUGUCACGCAGAAGUCACAGAGCCUCAGGGCAGCUCCCCAGCCCACGAGCCCCGA
Drosophila guanche is the source of this 279-nucleotide long non-coding RNA. RefSeq lists it as uncharacterized. Lineage: Eukaryota; Metazoa; Arthropoda; Insecta; Diptera; Drosophilidae. The transcript is spliced from 3 exons. The record is from RefSeq and is a predicted model, not a curated record.